GGUCAAGCUAAUAAGGGCAACCUG
RNAcentral lists this ribosomal RNA (24 nucleotides) under Microcystis sp. AICB 689. RNAcentral describes it as "partial 23S ribosomal RNA". The record is from RNAcentral. Lineage: Bacteria; Bacillati; Cyanobacteriota; Cyanophyceae; Chroococcales; Microcystaceae.